Molecule: ribosomal RNA, 482 nt
Filed under: uncultured bacterium
Lineage: Bacteria
Description: bacterial SSU rRNA
Rfam family: Bacterial small subunit ribosomal RNA
Source: RNAcentral
AUGAACGCUAGCGGCAGGCCUAAUACAUGCAAGUCGAACGGUAACAGGUGUAGCAAUACAUGCUGACGAGUGGCGCACGGGUGCGUAACACGUAUGCAACCUACCCAUAACUGGAGGAUAGCCCGAAGAAAUUCGGAUUAAUACUCCAUAGUAUAGUGAAGAGGCAUCUCUUUAUUAUUAAAACUACGGUGGUUAUGGAUGGGCAUGCGUUGCAUUAGCUAGUUGGUGAGGUAAUGGCUCACCAAGGCUACGAUGCAUAGGGGAUCUGAGAGGAUUAUCCCCCACACUGGUACUGAGACACGGACCAGACUCCUACGGGAGGCAGCAGUAAGGAAUAUUGGACAAUGGUGGCAACACUGAUCCAGCCAUGCCGCGUGAAGGAUGAAGGCGCUAUGCGUCGUAAACUUCUUUUGAACGGGAGAAACCCCUGAUACGUGUAUCAGGCUGAUAGUACCGUUAGAAUAAGGGUCGGCUAACUUCGU